This 1188-nucleotide ribosomal RNA is filed under the name Oerskovia sp. UASWS1533. Its description in RNAcentral is "bacterial SSU rRNA". It matches the Rfam family "Bacterial small subunit ribosomal RNA", at positions 115 to 1318 of the family's 1533-position model. Lineage: Bacteria; Bacillati; Actinomycetota; Actinomycetes; Micrococcales; Cellulomonadaceae. The record is from RNAcentral.
ACGUGAGUAACCUGCCCCAGACUUCGGGAUAAGCCUUGGAAACGAGGUCUAAUACCGGAUAUGAGCCGUCCUCGCAUGGGGGUGGUUGGAAAGAUUUAUCGGUCUGGGAUGGGCUCGCGGCCUAUCAGCUUGUUGGUGGGGUGAUGGCCUACCAAGGCGACGACGGGUAGCCGGCCUGAGAGGGCGACCGGCCACACUGGGACUGAGACACGGCCCAGACUCCUACGGGAGGCAGCAGUGGGGAAUAUUGCACAAUGGGCGCAAGCCUGAUGCAGCGACGCCGCGUGAGGGAUGAAGGCCUUCGGGUUGUAAACCUCUUUCAGCAGGGAAGAAGCGCAAGUGACGGUACCUGCAGAAGAAGCGCCGGCUAACUACGUGCCAGCAGCCGCGGUAAUACGUAGGGCGCAAGCGUUGUCCGGAAUUAUUGGGCGUAAAGAGCUCGUAGGCGGUUUGUCGCGUCUGGUGUGAAAACUCAAGGCUCAACCUUGAGCUUGCAUCGGGUACGGGCAGACUAGAGUGCGGUAGGGGAGACUGGAAUUCCUGGUGUAGCGGUGGAAUGCGCAGAUAUCAGGAGGAACACCGAUGGCGAAGGCAGGUCUCUGGGCCGCAACUGACGCUGAGGAGCGAAAGCAUGGGGAGCGAACAGGAUUAGAUACCCUGGUAGUCCAUGCCGUAAACGUUGGGCACUAGGUGUGGGGCUCAUUCCACGAGUUCCGUGCCGCAGCAAACGCAUUAAGUGCCCCGCCUGGGGAGUACGGCCGCAAGGCUAAAACUCAAAGGAAUUGACGGGGGCCCGCACAAGCGGCGGAGCAUGCGGAUUAAUUCGAUGCAACGCGAAGAACCUUACCAAGGCUUGACAUACACCGGAAACUUCCAGAGAUGGUUGCCCCGCAAGGUCGGUGUACAGGUGGUGCAUGGUUGUCGUCAGCUCGUGUCGUGAGAUGUUGGGUUAAGUCCCGCAACGAGCGCAACCCUCGUCCUAUGUUGCCAGCACGUGAUGGUGGGGACUCAUAGGAGACUGCCGGGGUCAACUCGGAGGAAGGUGGGGAUGACGUCAAAUCAUCAUGCCCCUUAUGUCUUGGGCUUCACGCAUGCUACAAUGGCCGGUACAAAGGGCUGCGAUGCCGUAAGGUGGAGCGAAUCCCAAAAAGCCGGUCUCAGUUCGGAUUGGGGUCUGCAACUCGACCC